CCUACGGGGGGCUGUAGUGAGGAAUAUUGGUCAAUGGACGAGAGUCUGAACCAGCCAAGUAGCGUGAAGGAUGACUGCCCUAUGGGUUGUAAACUUCUUUUAUAUGGGAAUAAAACGUUCCACGUGUGGGAUUUUGUAUGUACCAUAUGAAUAAGGAUCGGCUAACUCCGUGCCAGCAGCCGCGGUAAUACGGAGGAUCCGAGCGUUAUCCGGAUUUAUUGGGUUUAAAGGGAGCGUAGGUGGAUUGUUAAGUCAGUUGUGAAAGUUUGCGGCUCAACCGUAAAAUUGCAGUUGAAACUGGCAGUCUUGAGUACAGUAGAGGUGGGCGGAAUUCGUGGUGUAGCGGUGAAAUGCUUAGAUAUCACGAAGAACUCCGAUUGCGAAGGCAGUUCACUGGACUGCAACUGACACUGAGGCUCGAAAGUGUGGGUAUCAAACAGGAUUAGAUACCCCAGUAGUC
Molecule: ribosomal RNA, 460 nt
Filed under: uncultured bacterium
Lineage: Bacteria
Description: partial 16S ribosomal RNA
Rfam family: Bacterial small subunit ribosomal RNA
Source: RNAcentral